RNAcentral lists this long non-coding RNA (365 nucleotides) under Zostera marina. Its description in RNAcentral is "long non-coding RNA (ZMAR_LNC004736)". The record is from RNAcentral. Lineage: Eukaryota; Viridiplantae; Streptophyta; Magnoliopsida; Alismatales; Zosteraceae.
AAACGGAGGCCUUGAGCGGUUACAGUUGUCGGAAUAACAAUACCGGUCCCGUUGGAAACUCGCCAGAGCGCACGGACGCAGUGCUGAACUUCCGAAACCAGAUAAUUAAGACGAGGGUUACCCAUAGCAAGAGAAGACUCUCAGGCCAGGUAGCUUGGUGAUGCACCAACUCGCGCCCCAACUCUUCCAACAGAAUCUCAAGAGAAGACAUGAUGAAUGCGAAGAAAUGAGUCAAAAAAAGAAAAGAAGCUCUUAUAUAAGGUAGGAAGGAGAGAGAGUACUGAUCGUAGCCCUAGGCCAUCAGCCCAGGCCCAUGCGAGAGUCCAGGAUUAAGGCCCAGUAAAGCAAAUAAAAGAGGAAGACCC